This 253-nucleotide ribosomal RNA is filed under the name uncultured bacterium. RNAcentral's name for it is "partial 16S ribosomal RNA". It matches the Rfam family "Bacterial small subunit ribosomal RNA", at positions 524 to 776 of the family's 1533-position model. The record is from RNAcentral.
UACGGGGGGGGCAAGCGUUGUUCGGAAUUACUGGGCGUAAAGGGCUCGUAGGCGGCCAACUAAGUCAGACGUGAAAUCCCUCGGCUUAACCGGGGAACUGCGUCUGAUACUGGAUGGCUUGAGUUUGGGAGAGGGAUGCGGAAUUCCAGGUGUAGCGGUGAAAUGCGUAGAUAUCAGGAGGAACACCAAUGGCGAAGGCAGCACUCUGGGACGUGACUGACGCUGAGACGCGAAAGCGUGGGGAGCAAACAGG